RNAcentral lists this long non-coding RNA (242 nucleotides) under Hordeum vulgare. RNAcentral's name for it is "long non-coding RNA (HVUL_LNC007166)". The record is from RNAcentral. Lineage: Eukaryota; Viridiplantae; Streptophyta; Magnoliopsida; Poales; Poaceae.
GUUGAUGUCAUUGAGGAUUUUGUCAAGUUCCACUUCAUUUGCAAUCCUCGGAUGAGCUGGUUGAGGAUUUCGUCUGGGCUAAGUAAUUGGUUCUGGAGCAAUUUCCUCAGGAGCAUCUUCUUGAUUUUGAUCAGUGCUGGGAAUGAUUUCUUCAUCAAUUUCCUCAGUUGGAACAAUGUCUUCAGUAGCUUUGAGCUUUAUUGCUUCCUCUGGAGACAGCUUAUCUGGAUCAGGAGGCAAUU